GCGCCCAUAGCUCAGUGGUAGAGCGUUUCAUUGACAUUGAAAAGGUUGCAGGUUCGAUCCCUGCUGGGCGCACAA
RNAcentral lists this transfer RNA (75 nucleotides) under Candidatus Colwellbacteria bacterium RIFCSPLOWO2_01_FULL_48_10. RNAcentral's name for it is "tRNA-Val". It matches the Rfam family "tRNA". Rfam says of the family: Transfer RNA (tRNA) molecules are approximately 80 nucleotides in length. RNAcentral also lists the same sequence under 1 other name. The record is from RNAcentral. Lineage: Bacteria; Candidatus Colwelliibacteriota.